AUUGAACGCUGGCGGAAUGCUUUACACAUGCAAGUCGAACGGUAGAGGGGGCAACCCCUCGAGAGUGGCGAACGGGUGAGUAAUAUAUCGGAACGUGCCCAGUCGUGGGGGAUAACGUAGCGAAAGUUACGCUAAUACCGCAUACGAUCUACGGAUGAAAGCGGGGGAUCGCAAGACCUCGCGCGCUUGGAGCGGCCGAUAUCAGAUUAUGUAGUUGGUGGGGUAAAGGCUCACCAAGCCAACGAUCUGUAGCUGGUCUGAGAGGACGACCAGCCACACUGGAACUGAGACACGGUCCAGACUCCUACGGGAGGCAGCAGUGGGGAAUUUUGGACAAUGGACGCAAGUCUGAUCCAGCCAUUCCGCGUGCAGGAUGAAGGCCCUCGGGUUGUAAACUGCUUUUGUACGGAACGAAAAGGUUUCCAUUAAUACUGGGAGCUCAUGACGGUACCGUAAGAAUAAGCACCGGCUAACUACGUGCCAGCAGCCGCCGUAA
Molecule: ribosomal RNA, 496 nt
Filed under: uncultured bacterium
Lineage: Bacteria
Description: partial 16S ribosomal RNA
Rfam family: Bacterial small subunit ribosomal RNA
Source: RNAcentral